AGGACGAACGCUGGCGGCGUGCUUAACACAUGCAAGUCGAGCGGAAAGGCCCUUCGGGGUACUCGAGCGGCGAACGGGUGAGUAACACGUGAGUAAUCUGCCCCUAGCUCUGGGAUAGCUCCGGGAAACCGGGAUUAAUACCGGAUACGACCACCUUAGACAUCUUUUGUGGUGGAAAGAAUUUCGGCUAGGGAUGAGCUCGCGGCCUAUCAGCUUGUGGUGGGUAACGCCUACAAGGCGACGACGGGUA
RNAcentral lists this ribosomal RNA (250 nucleotides) under uncultured bacterium. Its description in RNAcentral is "partial small subunit ribosomal RNA". It matches the Rfam family "Bacterial small subunit ribosomal RNA", at positions 26 to 285 of the family's 1533-position model. The record is from RNAcentral.